RNAcentral lists this ribosomal RNA (457 nucleotides) under uncultured bacterium. RNAcentral describes it as "SSU rRNA". It matches the Rfam family "Bacterial small subunit ribosomal RNA", at positions 26 to 518 of the family's 1533-position model. The record is from RNAcentral.
AGAAUCAACGCUGGCGGCGUGCCUAACACAUGCAAGUCGCACGAGAAAGGGACUUCGGUCCUGAGUACAGUGGCGCACGGGUGAGUAACACGUGAAUAAUCUACCUCCGAGUGGGGAAUAACUGAGAGAAAUCUUAGCUAAUACCGCAUAACACUUACGAGUCAAAGCAGCAAUGCGCUUGGAGAGGAGUUCGCGGCAGAUUAGUUAGUUGGCGGGGUAAUGGCCCACCAAGACGAUGAUCUGUAUCCGGCCUGAGAGGAUGAUCAGCCACACUGGGACUGAGACACGGCCCAGACUCCUACGGGAGGCCAGCAGUGGGGAAUAUUGGACAAUGGGCGAAAGCCUGAUCCAGCAAUGCCGCGUGUGUGAAGAAGGUCUUCGGAUUGUAAAGCACUUUCGACGGGACGAUGAUGACGGUACCGUAGAAGAAGCCCGGCUAACUCGUGCCAGCAGCCGC